CGGGGCGGGGAACGCGCGGCCGCCGCCGCUUCUGCUGCUGCUCCGCGGGCUCCGCGUCCCGCCCGCCCGUGCCCCGCGCCGCCUCCUGCUGCUCCGAGCUGGGCUCUGCGCCGCGGGGACGAAACGUGCUGCAGCCGCCGCCGCCUUCCACAGCAGCGGGGCCCGCACCAAGGAGGACUAUUACCAGGUGCUGGGGGUGCCCCGCACCGCCACCCAGAAGGAGAUCAAGAAGGCCUAUUACCAGUUGGCAAAAAAAUACCACCCUGACACAAACAAGGAUGACCCCAAAGCGAAGGAGAAGUUCUCUCAGCUGGCAGAAGCCUACGAGGUAACAGCAGGAUUUCAUCGUGAUGAAGAGGAGGAAAGGUUGGAGGGUGGAUGAGGGGAAACAUUUCCUGUAAAACCGUGGCUGUUUUUUGAUGCACUUCAGGCUGGAGCACCUCUGUCCUAACGGUGUCUCCAGGAAAUUACUUGGCCCAAGUAUCUGGUUUAGGUGCUUUGGGCUCUUUCAGUUUGUGCUCUUCCUUAGGAGUAAGUCACUGGCAUGGAUGCAG
Long non-coding RNA from Corapipo altera (White-ruffed manakin), 554 nucleotides. RefSeq lists it as uncharacterized. The record is from RefSeq and is a predicted model, not a curated record. The transcript has 3 exons. Lineage: Eukaryota; Metazoa; Chordata; Aves; Passeriformes; Pipridae.